GGGGAUUUAGCUCAGUGGUAGAGCGCUUGCCUAGCAAGCACAAGGCUCUGGUUUCAGUCCUCA
RNAcentral lists this transfer RNA (63 nucleotides) under Rattus norvegicus (Norway rat). It matches the Rfam family "tRNA". Rfam says of the family: Transfer RNA (tRNA) molecules are approximately 80 nucleotides in length. Their secondary structure includes four short double-helical elements and three loops (D, anti-codon, and T loops). Lineage: Eukaryota; Metazoa; Chordata; Mammalia; Rodentia; Muridae. The record is from Rfam by way of RNAcentral.